AUACGAAGGGGGCUAGCGUUGUUCGGAAUUACUGGGCGUAAAGCGCGCGUAGGCGGAUUGGUCAGUUAGGGGUGAAAUCCCAGGGCUUAACCCUGGAACUGCCUCUAAUACUGCCAGUCUUGAGUUCGGGAGAGGUGAGUGGAAUUCCUAGUGUAGAGGUGAAAUUCGUAGAUAUUAGGAAGAACACCAGUGGCGAAGGCGGCUCACUGGCCCGAUACUGACGCUGAGGCGCGAAAGCGUGGGGAGCGAACAGGAUUAGAAACCCUAGUAGUCC
This 274-nucleotide ribosomal RNA is filed under the name uncultured bacterium. Its description in RNAcentral is "partial 16S ribosomal RNA". It matches the Rfam family "Bacterial small subunit ribosomal RNA", at positions 523 to 796 of the family's 1533-position model. The record is from RNAcentral.